This 500-nucleotide ribosomal RNA is filed under the name uncultured bacterium. RNAcentral describes it as "partial 16S ribosomal RNA". It matches the Rfam family "Bacterial small subunit ribosomal RNA", at positions 30 to 523 of the family's 1533-position model. The record is from RNAcentral.
AUUGAACGCUGGCGGCAGGCCUAACACAUGCAAGUCGAGCGGAUGAGUGGAGCUUGCUCCAUGAUUCAGCGGCGGACGGGUGAGUAAUGCCUAGGAAUCAGCCUGGUAGUGGGGGACAACGUUUCGAAAGGAACGCUAAUACCGCAUACGUCCUACGGGAGAAAGCAGGGGACCUUCGGGCCUUGCGCUAUCAGAUGAGCCUAGGUCGGAUUAGCUAGUAGGUGAGGUAAAGGCUCACCUAGGCGACGGCCCGUAACUGGUCUGAGAGGAUGAUCAGUAACACUGGAACUGAGACACGGUCCAGACUCCUACGGGAGGCAGCAGUGGGGAAUAUUGGACAAUGGGCGAAAGCCUGAUCCAGCCAUGCCGCGUGUGUGAAGAAGGUCUUCGGAUUGUAAAGCACUUUAAGUUGGGAGGAAGGGCAGUAAGUUAAUACCUUGCUGUUUUGACGUUACCAACAGAAUAAGCACCGGCUAACUUCGUGCCAGCCGCCGCCGUAA